Molecule: long non-coding RNA, 1889 nt
Organism: Amphiprion ocellaris (clown anemonefish)
Lineage: Eukaryota; Metazoa; Chordata; Actinopteri; Pomacentridae
Exons: 2
Source: RefSeq, a predicted model, not a curated record
ACCAAUCAGGAACAAGCAGAGAAGAUACAGAGGAUCAGUUACAUAAGCAUAAAAUGGGUAAAAAAUGUGACCAGUAAGGACCAAACAAGUGUGGACAUUCAAACAAAAGACAUACAAGGUAGGGAGAUUCAAUUAAAAUUACACGGAUAGGCUGGGAUUUUUGGAAUCAACUAAUAUAAUAGUCUUUGAUGAAAAAUAAUGUUCAAAAUUUCUGUCUAAGUAUUGUAUCAGUGACUUAAAUUUUAACUGUGCUGUUUAAAAAUACUAAAAAACAAAUUUACUUUUGCAAUUUCCUUUUUUUUUUCUCCCAUUCCAAUAACAAUAAAGGUUUCAGGCAUAUUGUUCUUCUGUUCACACUGAAACUGAUGGAAAAAUCCUUCAUCUGUCUUGUACUAGCAGAGGUCGGCUUGUGGUGGCAGGAGGCUAAGUGGGGCAUUCUACUCAUCCUCCUCUCCAGCAAUGUUUUCCAGUUCCUUCUGAAGGAUCCCAAGGCGUUCCAAGGCGUUCCAAGGCCAGAUGAGAUGUAUAAUCCUUCCAGCAAGCUCAGGUCUACCUCAGGGUCUCCUUCUUGGAAAACCUCCAAAGAAAGCCACUCAGGAGGCAUCCUACCCAGAUGCCUGAACCACUUCAGCUGUUUUGACAUGAAGGAACUGAGCUCCCUCUGAAUGUUUGAGCUCCUCGCCCAGUCUCUGAAGCUGAGCCCAGCCAUCCCAUGUAGGAAACCCAUUUUGGCUCUUUGUACCUACGAUGUCAUUUCUUUCAAUCACUAUCCAGAACUCAAGACCAUAGGUGAGGAUUGAAACUGGUAAACUGACAGCUCUCCCUUCAUCCUCAGCUCCCUCUUCACCACCAAGACAGUCUGCUUAAACCUGCACCAAACCAUAUGUCCAACUCACACUCCCAUUUUUCCUAUCACUUCUGAAAAAGAUCCCAAGACACUUAGGCAUUAAUUUUAACCAUUCUUUGGUAGAACGACUUCUGUGCUUAUGGUCACUGUCUUGCUGUGUGACCCACUUUCUCCACAGAUUGAGUUCAUGACAUGUUUCUGUAAAAAUUGCUGGUAUAACUCAUGAUGAUGGUGAGGUAUCCUGGCCCAGAUGCAGCAAAAAUAGUCCCAAACAAUGAUACCACCACCAUGAUUUAUAAAUAAGGCCCUUUAUGCCAGAAUAUAGUGCUUUCCUUUCUUUUUCUCUCUUAUUGCUUCUCAUGUAAACCAAAAGUUCCAUUUUGGUUUAAUCCAUCCAUAAGACACUUUCCAAAGUCCUUCAUGCUUGAUCUUUAGAAUACUGCAAAUGCUGUGUUUGAAGAUUAGUUACUAUCUUCUCGCAACCCUGCCAUUGUUGAUCAACAUUUUCCUGAUGGUGGACUGAAGAAACAUGAACAUUAGCUAAUGUAAGAGAGGCCUGCGGUUGCUAGGACGUUACCCUGGGCUCCUUUGUAACCUCAUGGACUAUUACAUGCCUUGCUCUUAGAGUGAUGGUCCUGGGGACGGUAACAAUGAUGUUGAAUUUCCUCCAUUUGUACACAAUCUGUCUGAUUGCGGAUUGGUGAGGUCCAGACUGUAGAGAUGGUUUCUAUUCUUUUUUUUCCCAGCCUGAUAGAAUCAGAAAUUCUUUUUCUAAGGUGCUUAGAAAUCUUCUUUGUUAGUGUCAUAAUACACUUCCAGACAUGUGUUGCUAAGACCAGAAUAUGGUCGAUGCCUGUUCUUUAAAAAAAGACAGGCUGUCCAUUCACACCUGAUUGCCAUCCCACUGACGGGAGACACCUGACUCUAAUUUCACCUUAAAAUUGGGUGACAAUCUGAGAGUAUCACAUAGUUUGGCUACUUGCAGAUACUGUGUGUAAUAUUGGAUAAUUUUCUUCAAUAAAGAAAUGAACAUGUAUACUAA